This is a long non-coding RNA of Corvus hawaiiensis (hawaiian crow), 4256 nucleotides long. RefSeq lists it as uncharacterized. The record is from RefSeq and is a predicted model, not a curated record. Lineage: Eukaryota; Metazoa; Chordata; Aves; Passeriformes; Corvidae. The transcript has 5 exons.
CCGUGUGCAUCCCCCCGCAGCCUGACCCCCAGCCCGGGCUGACCCCCGGGGGGGUGACAAGGAGGAGGAGGAGGAGGGAAGGGGGGGGCGCAGGCACUUGUGCCGGCGCAGCCUCUCGCAUCAAGGUGUGCUGCAAUCCGGGCGGGCACGGUGGCUGCUCCUUAACCCCCGGCUGGCCGCGGCGCUGCCCGAGCGCGCUCCCCGCCCGCCCCGCGCAGCCCCCGCGGCACCGCGCUGCCUCGCUGCCUCCCCGCGGCACCGCGCUGCGAUGCGGUGCAGCAGCGGGGAUGGAGGGAUGGAGUUGUGGCGGUGCUGGGCGGCGGGGGCGAGUGAGGACUAAUCCCAUCCCUGGGCCUGCUCUCUGUUCCCUUCCUGCAUUAGAGAUUGGCUAUAAGGAGAAGGCUGACGGCUGCAGCAUGAAGCGCAUUAUUACCUUGUGAUUCCAUGACCCUCCUCUAUGCAUCCCUAACUCUCGAAAGCUGAUUCAGCUUUCAGCUAGUGCUCUGGUGAGUCCUCUGCUGCAACAGAAGCUCCUAACUGAUGGUUGUGACUGUGGCUCCCAAGGUCUGAGCCCAGUCUCUCUGCCAUGGGCUGUGCUGGGACGAGCGCCUGCCUCCACCUCGGCCCUGCUGGUGUCUCCCUCUCCAGUGCCCAGCCCUACACAGGGGCUGACUUCAAAGUCCCCAAAGGCAUGUGCUAUCUUUUGAGGGUUGCUUAUCUGUGGGGUAGCGUCUCGCUCCCAGUGACCAGCAGAGGAAAAAUCAUUGGAUUCACUAGAAGCCCUGUGCCUCGGCGUUUCAUCUGCUGCAAGGAAGAAUAAAGGUUUUGAUCUGAAGUUCCCUCCUUGUGUUUUGUACCACGUGCCGAGCUGCUCCUUCAACAGCUCUGGUGAAGAAAUGGGCUGUUACAGGGCUACCAGAGCUGGGAAGGAGUUGGGAAUACCAACUGCUUCCUCACUACCCCAAACUGCAAGUAUCCACGGUCUGCACUAGCCAACAAUAUUUUUUUGUUAAUGAGAUAAAAGCUGUGCUCCUAAAAAAGAGUUUCCUGUUUGACUUUGUUGACCUAAAAGACUUGUAAGGUCUCUCCCCCGGUCUGGUCCUUAUAAGCACUAAUGUUAUGCUAAUGGAGUUAAAGAAAAUCACUCACUUUCCCAUGUAAUAAUGAUUGGUGGGAAAGUAAGCUGGGCGUCAUCCUUUCCUAGCCAUUGUAAAUCUAUAGGACUCUCACAAGCUAUGAAUAUUGCCGCUUUAAUGAGCCAUUUGGAUGCAAAAGUCUGAUGGGAGAUUAUUCAUGUCUUUACUUCUUAACAACACCUGGCCCAAGUUAACCCCUGGCAUGAGAGUGUGCAGAGAUUUGUCUCUUUUCACACGCUAGAAAUUAGGUUUACUUCAUUUCACAUCCUGGUCCUUUAGGUACCGUUUAAGUGUUCUUACUAGGGCCAAGAGUAUUCGUGUGCUUCAAGAUAAGGAGUUGUUUGAUGGAUCUGAGCCUUAACAUGCAUCUAAUAUUUAUGUCACUGGGUAUUUAAAAGGCAAAGACAUGAGGAGCAAUGUUACUGCAGGAGCGCCUUUCCUCAGCUAAAAGGAAAAUAGUGCUUACUCAAUCCUGCUGGCUCAUUUUUCUGUACUUUAACAGUGCCUAAGCAUCCAUGUCGAUAUCCUACUGAAGUCUACAUGUGUUUUUUCUCCCCAUAUACUUCAAUCAGAUCAGACACAUUUUCCUUCUUGCCACCAGCUGAUUUCUUGGGAAUAUGUAGAAGAAAUUAGACAUUCUAUUAUUUUUAAUUUAUUUAUCUUCACAACUGCAGCAUCGUUCCAAACAGCCAACAAUGCACCCAAAAGGGCUUUGACCUGGCCUGAUAGAAGAGACUCGAGCAAAUGCAAAAUGCACUUGCUGACAUUUGUGCCUGCAAACAGAGGAAAAGGAGCAGCUCCAACAAAUCCCUGCAUAAGCAUGGAGCCAGUGUGAUGCCGUGGGUAGUGAGGGUGCUCGUUGCUUUCCAGUUGAAGCCUCACAGCACAGCUCUGCCCUUGGCAAAAGAGCCAAAUGGCCACUAGUUCUGUAGCUCUGAGUCACCUCUUGACACCUUAUCUGUCCUGGAUGAUUAAUUGCUUUGUAGUUAUCCGUGCUGGUUUCUGAGCACUACUCAAUCCCAGUUCCUAAUUCCCAUCUCAGAAGCAUCAAGCAAAGGCAUCUGCUGAGGCAGGAAUGACUGUCCAAGCAAACUACCUCAGUGCUGUCGCUGCCAGUCCUGAGAUUCCUGAACAUCCUUGGGAUGAAAGCACAAGGGAAGGGGAAUCCUCAGCACAAGUUCCUAAUUGCUGGCAGCCUGGGCUGUGAAUGAUGUUGAGACUCUAGAGGAAAAGGUUGAGUAGAAACAGAUGCUUCCAGCAGGUUGUGGCCUGGGUUUCCAAAAUACCAUGCUUGUCCCGCCUGCUCCCACAAUCUGGGUUAUUUUCCCUUGUUCCCCAGGGCUGAAUCCAAUGUAAACAACACCAUUAUUAAUAUUCUUCCUUGGUAAUGAUAAUUAAGUUGCUAAAAAAUGUCAAAUAGGGAAGCUGGAGGCAUUGCAACUUGAACAAAACCAGGGAAUGUAAAUGAAAACAUUUGUUCCUUAAAGAAGUGUGGUACCCUCAAAGCCACCUUGAAUAGCAGAGAAGCUUCCAGUUCUCUGGAAGCAAGAGAAGGUAUGAAUACACAGGGAUCCCAAAAGUUGGGCCGUGCAUUUAAAUGCAUAAAUGUGGAUCCCACCUUCAGGCACCCAUGCUUGAAGAUUUCUGGCUGUGUUUUUAUUGCCUAAUUAUAUCUUUAUGGAAUGAGAAAUUCAGCUCACUUAGCACGGAAUUUCUAUAACAAUACAGCCAUUAAGGUCUAGUCAAGGAAAUAUGAGGCCCAAGCAGAAGGCAGCAGGUAGACUUCAGAAGAGCUCUCUAGGGACUGAUAAUGUGUAGGGACAAAUGUAAGGCAUGGGCCAAAAAAUUGUACGUCUCCUUCCCAACAAUUUGUGUUUCAGCUCUGCUCACUCACAAACCCUUCCUGGGGCAACAGCAGGGUUUGGAGCAAACUGAGCUCGCUGAUAUCUGCCCUUUGCAGCUGGGAGCUGCCCAGAUCCUGAACCCAUCCAUGGUCUGAAAAUGGGAUCUGCUUUAGUCGAUUUCCCAUAAAGCACAGUUCUGAGGGGAAGUCUUACCACUGGCUUUGAAAACCCCAGGAAAAACUCCUGGCUAAGUCAUUAGAAACCUUUAGCCAACCAUCCUUAACUACAUCAAAUCUAAUUGUUUCCCAUAUCUUCUAAGAGGCUGCUUCUGAUGGCUCACCAGACACUGCUGGUUUCCUGGAAACCCUAUUAGCUUCUCAAACAAGGCAAUCCUGAGGACUCACUCCUGCAAACCUUUUGUGCAAAUAUUAAAUAACAGCGAAUAAUUAGCAAGAAUAAUCCUUUUUGCUUGACCCUCUUCUGUAAUAAAGACCUUUGUCGGCGAAUGCAAACGUUAUUUUGAGGAGCAAUUCAUAAUCUAGAGCUGUUGAACACAUCAGCCUAAAUACACUAAUACUCUAAUAUCCAUAUUUGUGCAGGACUUAAGACAGACAAAAACAGGCACGUUCUCUGUCCCAAAGACCUAAAAGCAUUCACCAGUCAAGCAUAGGAAGAGGAUGUGGCAAAAGAGGUGGCAAAGAAGGGACUCACUUCUGCAUUUGCUAUAUCUUCAAGUGUCUUAGGUGGUGUGAUCAAAUCAGCUGGAUUCUGUCCAUGGAGAUUUUUUCUGAGCAUCCUUUUCCUUCACCUGUUUUUCUUUUAUUUUUUUUUUUUCUGAGAGGGGAGAAAAGAAAGGACAAGGAAGCCAACAGGCAGAUAAUUGUUCUGUGCUGACAGUUUGUCAAGUGAUGGAAGAACAAUUUUAGUUAAGAGAUCUGCGUUACAGGGGCGAGCGAGCAGAAGUCUCUUCUUUUCCUCCCAGAUGGCAUUGACAUGUAGCCUGAAGGGGCUAUCAGGAUACAAAGCUAAAGAUGGUUAAAGACAUUAAAAACUGUACAAUGUGAGCACCAUCUACGCCAGGACCAUCAUCUAGGAGGAAGAUUCAUCCUGACGUAUCAGGCAGAAGUCAGAUCUUGGUGUUAUAUAAAGCUGUUGAGCCGAAAGUAUUUUUGAGAUAGAUAAAAAAUAUCUAUUCCUGCUACUAACCAUGCCUUUUCCAGUAGGUUUUUACUGACUCUUGAAAAGCUAUGACCAAUAAAUGUGAUGAUCUGCCUUC